GAUCUCUUGAGGAUGGGUUCGAUCCCCUUCUCUCUAG
This 37-nucleotide transfer RNA is filed under the name Coregonus sardinella (least cisco). Its description in RNAcentral is "partial tRNA-Gln". Lineage: Eukaryota; Metazoa; Chordata; Actinopteri; Salmoniformes; Salmonidae. The record is from RNAcentral.